RNAcentral lists this ribosomal RNA (1112 nucleotides) under Salmonella enterica. RNAcentral's name for it is "bacterial SSU rRNA". It matches the Rfam family "Bacterial small subunit ribosomal RNA", at positions 1 to 1102 of the family's 1533-position model. The record is from RNAcentral. Lineage: Bacteria; Pseudomonadati; Pseudomonadota; Gammaproteobacteria; Enterobacterales; Enterobacteriaceae.
AAAUUGAAGAGUUUGAUCAUGGCUCAGAUUGAACGCUGGCGGCAGGCCUAACACAUGCAAGUCGAACGGUAACAGGAAGCAGCUUGCUGCUUUGCUGACGAGUGGCGGACGGGUGAGUAAUGUCUGGGAAACUGCCUGAUGGAGGGGGAUAACUACUGGAAACGGUGGCUAAUACCGCAUAACGUUGCAAGACCAAAGAGGGGGACCUUCGGGCCUCUUGCCAUCAGAUGUGCCCAGAUGGGAUUAGCUAGUUGGUGAGGUAACGGCUCACCAAGGCGACGAUCCCUAGCUGGUCUGAGAGGAUGACCAGCCACACUGGAACUGAGACACGGUCCAGACUCCUACGGGAGGCAGCAGUGGGGAAUAUUGCACAAUGGGCGCAAGCCUGAUGCAGCCAUGCCGCGUGUAUGAAGAAGGCCUUCGGGUUGUAAAGUACUUUCAGCGGGGAGGAAGGUGUUGUGGUUAAUAACCGCAGCAAUUGACGUUACCCGCAGAAGAAGCACCGGCUAACUCCGUGCCAGCAGCCGCGGUAAUACGGAGGGUGCAAGCGUUAAUCGGAAUUACUGGGCGUAAAGCGCACGCAGGCGGUCUGUCAAGUCGGAUGUGAAAUCCCCGGGCUCAACCUGGGAACUGCAUUCGAAACUGGCAGGCUUGAGUCUUGUAGAGGGGGGUAGAAUUCCAGGUGUAGCGGUGAAAUGCGUAGAGAUCUGGAGGAAUACCGGUGGCGAAGGCGGCCCCCUGGACAAAGACUGACGCUCAGGUGCGAAAGCGUGGGGAGCAAACAGGAUUAGAUACCCUGGUAGUCCACGCCGUAAACGAUGUCUACUUGGAGGUUGUGCCCUUGAGGCGUGGCUUCCGGAGCUAACGCGUUAAGUAGACCGCCUGGGGAGUACGGCCGCAAGGUUAAAACUCAAAUGAAUUGACGGGGGCCCGCACAAGCGGUGGAGCAUGUGGUUUAAUUCGAUGCAACGCGAAGAACCUUACCUGGUCUUGACAUCCACAGAACUUUCCAGAGAUGGAUUGGUGCCUUCGGGAACUGUGAGACAGGUGCUGCAUGGCUGUCGUCAGCUCGUGUUGUGAAAUGUUGGGUUAAGUCCCGCAACGAGCGCAAC